AGAGUUUUAUCCUGGCUCAGGACGAACACCGGCGGCGUGCCUAAUACAUGCAAGUCGAGCGAACUGAUUAAGAAGCUUGCUUCUUAAGACGUUAGCGGCGGACGGGUGAGUAACACGUGGGCAACCUGCCCUAUAGUUGGGGAUAACUCCGGGAAACCGGGGCUAAUACCGAAUGAUACAUUUUAACUCCUGUUAGAAUGUUGAAAGAUGGUUUACGCUAUCGCUAUAGGAUGGGCCCGCGGCGCAUUAGCUAGUUGGUGAGGUAACGGCUCACCAAGGCGACGAUGCGUAGCCGACCUGAGAGGGUGAUCGGCCACACUGGGACUGAGACACGGCCCAGACUCCUACGGGUGGCAGCAGUAGGGAAUCUUCCACAAUGGACGAAAGUCUGAUGGAGCAACGCCGCGUGGGUGAAGAAGGAUUUCGGUUCGUAAAACUCUGUUGCAAGGGAAGAACAAGUAGCGCAGUAACUGGCGCUACCUUGACGGUACCUUGUUAGAAAGCCACGGCUAACUACGUGCCAGCAGCCGCGGUAAUACGUAGGUGGCAAGCGUUGUCCGGAAUUAUUGGGCGUAAAGCGCGCGCAGGUGGUUUCUUAAGUCUGAUGUGAAAGCCCACGGCUCAACCGUGGAGGGUCAUUGGAAACUGGGAGACUUGAGUGCAGAAGAGGAUAGUGGAAUUCCAAGUGUAGCGGUGAAAUGCGUAGAGAUUUGGAGGAACACCAGUGGCGAAGGCGACUGUCUGGUCUGUAACUGACACUGAGGCGCGAAAGCGUGGGGAGCAAACAGAGAUUAGAUACCCUGGUAGUCCACGCCGUAAACG
This 822-nucleotide ribosomal RNA is filed under the name uncultured bacterium. Its description in RNAcentral is "bacterial SSU rRNA". It matches the Rfam family "Bacterial small subunit ribosomal RNA", at positions 8 to 808 of the family's 1533-position model. The record is from RNAcentral.